UAGGGAAUCUUCGGCAAUGGACGAAAGUCUGACCGAGCAACGCCGCGUGAGUGAAGAAGGUUUUCGGAUCGUAAAACUCUGUUGUUAGAGAAGAACAAGGACGUUAGUAACUGAACGUCCCCUGACGGUAUCUAACCAGAAAGCCACGGCUAACUACGUGCCAGCAGCCGCGGUAAUACGUAGGUGGCAAGCGUUGUCCGGAUUUAUUGGGCGUAAAGCGAGCGCAGGCGGUUUCUUAAGUCUGAUGUGAAAGCCCCCGGCUCAACCGGGGAGGGUCAUUGGAAACUGGGAGACUGGAGUGCAGAAGAGGAGAGUGGAAUUCCAUGUGUAGCGGUGAAAUGCGUAGAUAUAUGGAGGAAAACCAGUGGCGAAGGCGGCUCUCUGGUCUGUAACUGACGCUGAGGCUCGAAAGCGUGGGGAGCAAACAGG
Molecule: ribosomal RNA, 429 nt
Filed under: Gemmatimonadota bacterium
Lineage: Bacteria; Pseudomonadati; Gemmatimonadota
Description: Gemmatimonadetes bacterium partial 16S ribosomal RNA
Rfam family: Bacterial small subunit ribosomal RNA
Source: RNAcentral